AUUGAACGCUGGCGGCAGGCCUAACACAUGCAAGUCGAACGAGUGGCGGACGGGUGAGGAAUGUCUGGGAAACUGCCUGAUGGAGGGGGAUAACUACUGGAACCGGUAGCUAAUACCGCAUACCAUCAGAUGUGCCCAGAUGGGAUUUGCUAGUUGGUGGGGUAACGGCUCACCAAGGCGACGAUCCCUAGCUGGUCUGAGAGGAUGACCAGCCACACGGGAACUGAGACCCGGGCCAGACUCCUACGGUAGGCAGCAGUGGGGAAUAUUGCACAAGGGGCGCAAGCCGGAGGCAGCCAUGCCGCGUGUAUGAAGAAGGCCUGCGGGUUGUAAAGUACUUUCGGCGGGGAGGCGUUACCCGCAGAAGAAGCACCGGCUAACUCCGUGCCAGCCGCCGCGGUAAUUC
This 406-nucleotide ribosomal RNA is filed under the name uncultured bacterium. RNAcentral describes it as "partial 16S ribosomal RNA". It matches the Rfam family "Bacterial small subunit ribosomal RNA", at positions 29 to 526 of the family's 1533-position model. The record is from RNAcentral.